AUGCAAGUCGAACGAACUCUGGUAUUGAUUGGUGCUUGCAUCAUGAUUUACAUUUGAGUGAGUGGCGAACUGGUGAGUAACACGUGGGAAACCUGCCCAGAAGCGGGGGAUAACACCUGGAAACAGAUGCUAAUACCGCAUAACAACUUGGACCGCAUGGUCCGAGUUUGAAAGAUGGCUUCGGCUAUCACUUUUGGAUGGUCCCGCGGCGUAUUAGCUAGAUGGUGGGGUAACGGCUCACCAUGGCAAUGAUACGUAGCCGACCUGAGAGGGUAAUCGGCCACAUUGGGACUGAGACACGGCCCAAACUCCUACGGGAGGCAGCAGUAGGGAAUCUUCCACAAUGGACGAAAGUCUGAUGGAGCAACGCCGCGUGAGUGAAGAAGGGUUUCGGCUCGUAAAACUCUGUUGUUAAAGAAGAACAUAUCUGAGAGUAACUGUUCAGGUAUUGACGGUAUUUAACCAGAAAGCCACGGCUAACUACGUGCCAGCAGCCGCGGUAAUACGUAGGUGGCAAGCGUUGUCCGGAUUUAUUGGGCGUAAAGCGAGCGCAGGCGGUUUUUUAAGUCUGAUGUGAAAGCCUUCGGCUCAACCGAAGAAGUGCAUCGGAAACUGGGAAACUUGAGUGCAGAAGAGGACAGUGGAACUCCAUGUGUAGCGGUGAAAUGCGUAGAUAUAUGGAAGAACACCAGUGGCGAAGGCGGCUGUCUGGUCUGUAACUGACGCUGAGGCUCGAAAGUAUGGGUAGCAAACAGGAUUAGAUACCCUGGUAGUCCAUACCGUAAACGAUGAAUGCUAAGUGUUGGAGGGUUUCCGCCCUUCAGUGCUGCAGCUAACGCAUUAAGCAUUCCGCCUGGGGAGUACGGCCGCAAGGCUGAAACUCAAAGGAAUUGACGGGGGCCCGCACAAGCGGUGGAGCAUGUGUUUAAUUCGAAGCUACGCGAAGACCUUACCAGGUCUUGACAUACUAUGCAAUCUAGAG
Molecule: ribosomal RNA, 982 nt
Filed under: Lactiplantibacillus plantarum
Lineage: Bacteria; Bacillati; Bacillota; Bacilli; Lactobacillales; Lactobacillaceae
Description: bacterial SSU rRNA
Rfam family: Bacterial small subunit ribosomal RNA
Source: RNAcentral